Molecule: ribosomal RNA, 497 nt
Filed under: uncultured bacterium
Lineage: Bacteria
Description: partial 16S ribosomal RNA
Rfam family: Bacterial small subunit ribosomal RNA
Source: RNAcentral
GAUGAACGCUGGCGGCGUGCCUAAUACAUGCAAGUCGAGCGAACGGACGAGAAGCUUGCUUCUCUGAUGUUAGCGGCGGACGGGUGGGUAACACGUGGAUAACCUACCUAUAAGACUGGGAUAACUUCGGGAAACCGGAGCUAAUACCGGAUAAUAUUUUGAACCGCAUGGUUCAAAAGUGAAAGACGGUCUUGCUGUCACUUAUAGAUGGAUCCGCGCUGCAUUAGCUAGUUGGUAAGGUAACGGCUUACCAAGGCAACGAUGCAUAGCCGACCUGAGAGGGUGAUCGGCCACCCUGGAACUGAGACACGGUCCAGACUCCUACGGGAGGCAGCAGUAGGGAAUCUUCCGCAAUGGGCGAAAGCCUGACGGAGCAACGCCGCGUGAGUGAUGAAGGUCUUCGGAUCGUAAAACUCUGUUAUUAGGGAAGAACAUAUGUGUAAGUAACUGUGCACAUCUUGACGGUACCUAAUCAGAAAGCCACGGCUAACUACGUG